This 393-nucleotide long non-coding RNA is filed under the name Numida meleagris (helmeted guineafowl). Its description in RNAcentral is "lncRNA (ENSNMEG00000021877.1)". Lineage: Eukaryota; Metazoa; Chordata; Aves; Galliformes; Numididae. The record is from RNAcentral.
UCCAUAUCAACGUGGGUUAUUGGAGUUUCAUCUUCUGAAGCCUUUCUGGGCCUUAGCUGUUUGGUUGGCUAAUCACAGCUAUCACAUUAAAAGAAGGCCAGUUGCAGGCACUUGGAGGAUUUCUGAGCAAGUGAAAGAUUUUGUUGAACCGAGGACUAAGAAGAAUGUCAGAAUUCAAGUGAAAUUAAUGAAGCUUGAACUUAAAGGAGAUCUCUUGAUCGGCAUGAACAUCUUGAUGGAAGCCGGCCAAUGAGAUCAUUGCUGAUCAGGUCAGGCAGCUAACAUGGAGUCAUAAGAAGAGGGCGGUGGCAAAGAGGUAAGUGCAAUGCAUGGGGUUACCUCCUGUCACUGAAUCAUAGAAUGACUUGGGUUGGAAAGGGCCCCAAGGAUCAU